AUUACAAUAUUAUAAGAAAACCACGGGCUCCAAAACCUCACCGCCCUUUUUUUUGGAACAAAAUUACUUCUCCCUCACCGUCUUCUCUCUCUGUUGGAUAAUUUUAUUGAGCAAUCCCAAAAUUUCUACUGCCUCUCUCUCCUCACUGCGUAAAAAUUACUCCGCCACAAGCUCCCUCUCAUUGCUCCGCCGUCGCUCUCCAGUUUUCUCCGCUGCCGCCGCUCUCCGCACACAAUCGAACACCAAGUUUUUCGACAAACCUCCACCACCGGUUGGUUCUUGGACUCCACCACCAAUAAAACUUCCUGUGACUAAGCUGCUUGGCCUGCUAAUACCAGAUUCAAUUUCGGAGACUAUCUCAGGAGUUUUGAGAUUGUGGUGUAAAUAGCUUUAAGGAUCAUGUGUAAAUUGAUUCGAUCAGCAUAGUUUUGGAAACUGAUUUGAAGUUUGAGCUCCUAUUCUUAUGGGAGCCAGAGUGAGGGUUUUUAUGUAUCCGAGCAACAUUUGAAGUGAGCAUCACCCAAGAUUUUCACUGCAUAUGACUUGUCCCAAUUGUGGUUGUUAUAGGUAAGCUCUGCUCUUCAUUUUGUAUACAUUCGAUCCUCAUUUUGUAUAUACUGUGUGUAUUUUAACUCAUUCGUUCAUAUAUUGUGUGUAUUUUAACUCAUAAAUUGCAAUGGUGCGGUGCGGGAGGAAGGGGCUAAAAGGGAGCAACAAAUGGAAGAGCGAAUGAAAAACUCGGAAAAAUGCGUAGUUUAGUUUAAUUUUGUAAGACAAUCUUAUCUUAUAUAUUUUGUAAAACAAUCUUACCUAUUUAAUGUUAUUUGAACUUUGUUUA
Molecule: long non-coding RNA, 838 nt
Organism: Salvia splendens (bonfire salvia)
Lineage: Eukaryota; Viridiplantae; Streptophyta; Magnoliopsida; Lamiales; Lamiaceae
Exons: 5
Source: RefSeq, a predicted model, not a curated record